This is a long non-coding RNA of Microtus oregoni (creeping vole), 1421 nucleotides long. RefSeq lists it as uncharacterized. The record is from RefSeq and is a predicted model, not a curated record. The transcript has 3 exons. NCBI's taxonomy places the organism in Eukaryota, Metazoa, Chordata, Mammalia, Rodentia, Cricetidae.
GAAGCUCCGACCCAUGAUGGACAUAGGCUAGAAUCUCCCUGAUAUGAGUCCCAAACUCUCAAAAGAUGACGAUCAUGAAGACUGCCUGUUGUUCUAACAGAUUUGCAAGGAUGGAGUGUGCCAUACCAUAUGGAUGUUCCUGUGGGGGAAGGAACCCAAAGGAAAUAAUGUAUGGAAUAUCUGAACAGAAGUCAUAAAUUAAAGAAUUGACCAAGAACUAAGAAAUAAUGAGUCUGAUGAAAGUAGUAUAGUUGGAUGUGGUUGCAAAUGCCUAUAAUGCCAGCACUCAGGAGGAAGAGACAAGAGGACAGCCUGGUCUACAUAGUGAGUUCAAGGCCAUCCAGGAGCACAUGGCAAGACCCUGUGCCAGAUGAGGCAUGAACACUGAGCUGAAGGACAAUCUGGUUGGUAAAGUGCUUCCUCUGCAAGUAGGGGAACAUAAAUUCAGCCUCCAAGGAAGAAGGAGAAGGAAGAGAGGCUGUCUGCUGAUUAUCUUCAGAUCUGGAGACCGUCCAAUACAGGUGGAUCCUCUAGGCUCAGUGGACACCCAGUGUAGACUACCUGUGGAGCCCCAGACCAUUGAGAGACUCGUGUCUUAAGAAUCAAGGUGGAUGGCUCCUGAGAAAUAACAUGUAGGUUUGUCCUCUGACCUCUGUGAGCAUGGCAACACACACACACACACACUUGUACAUGUACACAGACAUGCAAAUCACAAUAGUGUCUUGUGCCUCCCUAACAUAAAAAAAAAAGUGAAAAGUGAAGCCAGGAAGCCACAAAGGAUGCUUUCACAUGACUUCCCACUAAUAAGUACCACAAAGGGAUGGAUCAGAAUGCAAACUUCAUACAAAGGACAUCUAUAGGAAUGUAUAACUCAUAACCUUGUGUUCAACAUUGGACUGCUACUAUAAUUCUUAAUCAUCAUGACCAAAUAUAGUCAUGUCAAAAUACCUGAUAAAUUAGCUUCUUGUUUUUACUUCCUCUGGCCUCAAUCUCUGGGGCUAUACCCAGUUUCAUACGGCACACACAUAUAGCAGUAUUCCACCCUUCCCAAAUAAAUACCAGUGUCCCUCAGAGACUCUUUGAUGGUGUUUUAUUUAGUUUGACAGCUCAUAAGAUGACCUGAAGAGGUAAAACUAACCUUUUCCUCCUUAGCUAAGCCUGGGCUGGUCAGGGGAGGAUGGCAGUCUCAGAAGCCUGUAGAAGAUUUACAUGUUUAAAGACCAGGCAUUCCCAAAGAUAAGCCAUGAAUUACAGGCCACUGCAAAGCCUUGCAACCACAGAUAAGCUAUGAUCCUCUUUUUCCUAUUACUGGAGACAUGGCUUUAAACCAGAACAGGACUGUCAACUCCUAUGUAAUAAUUUGAACUAUAAAUAUAGCUUUUUCUAUUAUUCUGGUAGCUUAGCUGAUUUGAACACUUGCU